CCGUUUUAAAAACAUCUUCAUUAAAUCUUAAUACUACUAUAGAAUUCGAUCUAUUUCUAUUUCUGAGCGAAGUUUAUUCAAAAGUUUAGACGCCUCUGCUUCCAUAUAUUUCCCACGAUCUAAGCGAUAUUUAUUUCUUAUCCUUCAUUUCGCUAACUUUCACAAUCUAAGAUACCGUGAUUUGACGAGACCUGGCCGUUGCGAAAUUUCAUAAAGAA
Non-coding RNA from Schizosaccharomyces pombe (fission yeast), 218 nucleotides. Lineage: Eukaryota; Fungi; Ascomycota; Schizosaccharomycetes; Schizosaccharomycetales; Schizosaccharomycetaceae. The record is from the annotation of a GenBank genome assembly.